Molecule: ribosomal RNA, 433 nt
Filed under: uncultured bacterium
Lineage: Bacteria
Description: partial 16S ribosomal RNA
Rfam family: Bacterial small subunit ribosomal RNA
Source: RNAcentral
AACGAACGCUGGCGGCAUGCCUAACACAUGCAAGUCGAACGAGACCUUCGUGUCUAGUGGCGCACGGGUGCGUAACGCGUGGGAACCUGCCCUUAGGUUCGGAAUAACUCCCCGAAAGGGGUGCUAAUACCGGAUAAUGUCUUCGGACCAAAGAUUUAUCGCCUUUGGAUGGGCCCGUGUUGGAUUAGCUAGUUGGUAGUGUAAAAGCCUACCAAGGAGACGAUGCAUAGCUGGUCUGAGAGGAUGAUCCGCCACACUUGGAAUGAGACACGGCCCAGACUGCUACGCAACGCAGCAGUGGGGAAUAUUGGAGGAUGAGCGAAAGCCUGAUCACGCAAUGCCGCGCGAGUGAUGAAGGCCUUAGGGUUGUACAGCUCUUUUACACGGGAUGAUAAUGACAGUACCGGGAGAAUAAGCUCCGGCUAACUACGUG